AAAUUACUUCUGGCCAUGUAGUUUGGAUAGCUGUUAGAACACAUGCUUUGUCUGCAUGGAACUGCAGCUCUGCUUAAUUGGUAUUUUCCCCUUGGUUACUGGGUUGAAAAGUUCAGUUUGUCACAGCUAAUCAUUAAUCCACAGCAACUCCAAAAUGUGUUCAGUGCACUGAAUAUAUUGAGUAGUACACAUUGAGGAUGGAAUAAUAAAUUGAAAGGUCAUUUGUGUGCAGUGAAGUAUGAUUAGGGGCCUCCACAGUUUGUGCACCUCUGAGCUCAGAUACCACUGUCAGCUCUACAGUGACAGUGCAUAGCACAGGGACAGUGGGUUGACCUCAGCUGAGGGCCAAACUCCUCCCAUCUUUUCACUCACUCCCUCUUCUCAGGACAGUUAAAAAGUGUUUACCUGAAACAUUUAUCUAUUUAUUUAACAUUUAUCUAGCUCGGUGGCUGGUGACAUUUUCUGUAGCAGGGGAUAAAAGAUGCUCAGUGUUUCUGUGUUGGUUGAUUACAGUAUGCAGCUGGCAAGAACUUUUAGUGUGUGCAUUAUCUGUUUUCUGCCUUUUAACAUUGGAUCUUCUGCAUGUUUACAUGAAUCACUGAGAAAGAGUGUUACACCUUUAUCAAUUCUAUGUGUGAUGAAGGACUACUAGGAUGAGUAGAGAGAUUAUACAGAGAUGACUAAUUUUAACCUUUAUAAAUAUCUUGGAGGUUAAAUAGCAAAGAAAAAGGAACUAUUUUAAUUAGAGAAAGUAUUAGUUGUCCCUUCUUUUGAUCCUGUGAUCAAGAGGCUGACCAUGAGUGAGUUUACCACUUUGCUGUAGUUGGGAACAUCCUUUUAACUGAAAGUUGUAUCUCAGUCUGCAAUGUAACCCUUACAGCAUAAGAGUUGCUACCAGUGACUCUUUCUCAUUUCCUUUUCUUCUUGCUUUGAUAAAGUUCUUUCAAAUUCCUAAAAAGAAGACACCUGAACAAUACAUCAGUGAUAGUUAACUGUCUUAAUUUAAGCUGUCCACAGCAGCUGAAGGCUGGUGAUGGCAGCAAAAGAGCAGAGAGGCACAGCCUUGUGUAACAUCUGCUUCUCAACCCAAGGAGUUGUCUCCUAACUGCUCUACAACUUCCUUGUUGGAAUCCUAAGCAGGAUUUUCCCAUUCUCUACAAUGCAAGUGAAAGUCUGUGUCCUGGAGAGAGGAUCUAACCCUGAAGGUGUGAUCAUAUGCUUUAAGAGAUUUCUUUAAAAGCUUAAUGCACAACUGAAAGAAAUGCAGGAAGAGAAACUAGAAAGGACAAAGGACAGAAAAAGUAAUGUACAAAAUGCAAGAUAAUAAAAUUAAUUAUAGUAAUCUGACUCGUGUUCAAAUUGAGAUAUGAUUAAUAUAUUUUGCUUAUCAUUUUUUUGAAUAUUUCUUUUAUUCUUUAUUUAAUUCUCUACCCUCACUCAGGAUAUUUUAAAGCUUCUUCCCAGGCAUGUAUUUGAUUUCUAAUCAUUAAAUGCUUACAGAGAAGUUAUAAAAAUUCAGACUUAAGUUUUACAGUAAUCUUCCCCUGUUAGAAUAUGUUCUGAGAAAGUUCUGAGUAUUUUUAAAUAGGGUAGAAAUGGGGUUAAAUCUCCCUUGAUUCUAAAAGCACUUGCACAUGUUUCGGACAACUCAGCUCUCUGAUUUUAAUUAGUAAAAGGCACUUUCAGAUCUUUUCAGCAAGGAAAAAUACAGGCAAUUUCAAGCACAGGGUGGAUUUUACCAUUAUAUUUGCAAAAAAAAAGAAUGAGUUUGUACAAUUCGUUGUAGAAGUAUUGCCAAAGGUACAUAUCUAAUAGUAUGUGAGCAAUCCUGAGAAAAAUCUACACAGAAACACUGCUUCGUAUUGAAAGGAGAUUAAGUUUUACCUUUGCACAAAGAAUGUAUUUUGGAAAAUUCUUAAUGGCUUUUGAUAUAGCCAAGAUUUUUCCUGUUGAACUAGUUGUGCUGGAUUGACUGAGAACUAUUUUAAACUAACUUUAAGUUGGCUUUUCUUUUGUUGUUGUUUCGUUUAUUUUAAGGUAGUGAAAAUUGAAAAUUCUAGUAAUACUUUUUGGAGUACAGUAUAAAAACCACUGUAAAUUUCCCUGAAUUCCUAAGGAAGUUUGAGAAAGUAAUCUAUAUGCUCUUUAUAUGUGCUAGUAUGCCACAGGCUAUUUUCCUAGGAAAUGAGAAAAAUGAACUACUUCACUACACAAUUUUUGACAUAUAUUUGUUAUUCUCUGUUCACAAGGACAUCAAUAUGCUUUUAAUAAAGCUCCAGCUUUAGAAGUUGCUUAAAAGACUGUUUCUGAAGAUGUAAUAAGUUUCUGUUAGAAAAUAUUUUCAAGUAAAAAAAUAAUUUGCAACUGCUUGCAACCAGAAAACAGUCAAUAAUGAUCUUAAGCAUGAAUAGAUUUCUGAGCUCUCUUGAUAUGCUUUUGUUGUAGCAACAGCUGUGAAUGAAUAUUGUUUGAAGUAAACAUCUUUUCCUUGCAGAAAUGUUGUCCAGCUGCACUGUUCAAGUUACAACAUAUGUCCCAGUGUCUUAACUAUUGUGCAAAAACUGGUCUGGAAUAUUUCCUGACAGCAUCUGAGGAGUUAAAAUAACUUUUUCCUUGAGCAUUGUUUUGUCUUUUUGGGUGACAAAAGACAUUUGUACGGCUUUUUGUUUUGUUCUACUAACUCAUUCUGAGAUCUGGUUGCAUAGAUGUAGUUAUAACUGAGCUAUUUGACACACUGUAAUACAUUAACAGAAAACUUUCCUACAGACUUAGAGUUGCCUGUAGGUAUAAUCAUGCCCUUCUGGAAUGGCUUGUUCAAAACCAGCUCACUCUGAUGACCAAGAAUGUAGAGGCAAUCUCGAGCUCUACAGAUUUCAUAGCCAAAGGUUAUUUGCCUGCACUGAAGCUGUAUCCACUGUCUGAGGAGUAGCUGCUGUGGUAGUGAAGGGCUUAAUUAAAGCAGUUUGACAGUGAUAGAAUGAUGCACUCUGGAAGUGCUUCAUGGUGAUGGAAUUGAGUGAAAUGUUUUUCUUGCACAGCGAUGCACAUGACACAAAGAAAGGAGUGGAUAUGUAUCUCGAAAGAUUUAAUGUGUUUCCUGUACAGUACUGCUUCAGCUGCAGAACCUGGGGUGGUCUUGCUAUUGACAGCAAUUAGGUUGGAGAUAAGUGUAAGCUGGGUGCUCAAUGAGAGGAAAGUAAAAGUGUAAUUCUCUUCAGGAGAAUAGGGCUGUAAAAAGAAGCACAUAUAACAAUUUUUACCAUGAAGCAAGAAAGUGUUUUAGUGUGGGAAGGAUAAAGGUGGUUCUUGUUUUAUAUCACUGAUAAACAAAGGUACUCAUGGCACAGGCUGGCAUUGAAAACAGUGUCUGAUGCAUAAGCUACUUAAUUCUUACCCCCUGCUUCUCAGAACAUUGAGAUAUGCUAGUCUUGGCAUUCAUGGGCAUGACAUUCAGCAGAGGAAAUACCUGUGUAUUAUUUUUUCUCAAUUUCUCAGAAUCUGGAUAACUGUGGUCGUUACAGAGUACCUUUAGGUGUUAGAGAACACCAUUAUUGAGAUGAUUUGCACUUGAAAUGCUACUUGUAGCUGGGCAGGGAGAAAGGAUGCUCUGGUUUCAACAUACCUCAGUAUAUUAAGUAUAGUACACCUUGAGCUGGCCAUGGUUUGCAGGCUUGGAAGAUGUAGAUAACAGCUUAGUGAGAGGAGUCGCAGAUAUCUAAGUGUCCAAAUUCCAGGUCUUGUCAACUUUAACAUCCAGUGGUUACAAUGACUUUAAGGACUAGAGGUAAAAAACCCAACUCUCUAUAUCUUCAACCCCUUCUUGUGACUCCUUGUAGCAAAUUUGUCAGCAGUGCUAUAAUUUUUUUCUUCUCCCUUUAUGUCACUGCAGCUUAAAAAUAUUCCUUGAUUUCUGGCACUAGAUGCAGACUCAUUAAUUUGUGUGGCCAACCACAAAUAAGCCGUGUUGUGCCUGUUGGCCCUGGGGCCAAGGAAUAGUUCCUCACCCUUUCAUUUUAUCUGUACAGGCAUAGAGGUCUCUGAUAAAGUCAUGAGAACACGACUUUGUAAUUUUUAUUUUAAGGCAGCAUCCUACUUGGUUGAUAAUGGAACUUCUAGAAGCUCCACUGCACAGAGACAGAAAUUAAAACUUCUGGAGAACUGUUUCCAAAGAGCCAUUGGUUGUUGAUGUCCUUUUCCUGUGCAUUGAGGAGGACAAGGCAUCAUUUUCAUAGCUUGGCCUUACUGUCAGUCACCAAAUGACUGAGAUCCUGUACAAGCACAUAUCUGGAAAAACCUAUGUUCCACCUGCUGACACAAGUGAUACCUGCUUUGUGGAAGUUUAUCGGUUUAAGAUUCCUUCACCAAUGCUGAAACAAGCCAUAGACUACCCAGAGUUAUCAGUGCUUUCAGAAGAUCCCAGAAGAUCAUGAUGGGAAAAAAGGGGACAUUAAACUGACAAAAAAAUCUCCCUUUGGGUCUUUAAGCCAAUGGUUCACAUCUGCAUCUUAUAUGUUAUAGCUGGAGAACUUAAAGCUUACAAACAACUUCAGAAAUUCAAUGAAUUCUGUCUAAGUUUUCCCAGGUAAAUCUUCAUAAUUUAUUAGUGACAUAAAAUACUAGAGGAUGAGGUCCUAAAAAGGAAUUAUGUGGUGUGAUAAAGCUGCAGUACAGCCAAGGGAUUUUGGUUAAGUUAUCUUAUCCAAAUGACUGAUACCUACUGCUAGGAAGAUUGUCUAGGGUAAAAUAAAGCCCAGCCACUGUCCUGCAGUAGGAAGUAUAAAAGAGAGAAAUGUUGUCUGAAGGCUUCAGUUAAAAAUUUAAAAUGUCAAAUGAUGCAUGAAAGCAGGAGGCUUGUUACAGGGGAAAAAAAAGUUGCAGAAAUUAUUCAUAAUGAUCUAAUUUUCUUUGAAUUAGUUGUAGCAAGCUUGCCAAAGGAACAACCAGAGGAAAUACAAAGUAAUGUCUCAUUCGUUAUCUUGCGACUAAUAGAAGAAAAAGAAGAUUCUUGGAAAAUGUGAUGUAAAAAGUCACAAUUAAGGUUAACGAGGAGAAGAAAUUCCCAGCUGUUAUAAUGGAUUAUGAUUAACACCUGCCAUGCAGUAUUGCUGCCUCAGAGGAUUGGGGUGGUCCAUGUUCUAACUGAAUAAACUGACCUGAAUGUGUUGAGAUUGACCAAAAGCAUGGACUGACUUCUCAGUGCUCCAGUGAAAAGGGGAGAUUCUAUCAUUCAUAAGAAAUAUUAGAAUUUUUUUUUCCUUUUAGAGAGAAAAUUUUGGCUCGUUGGGAAACUAAUGGCUCGAAAGAGCCCAAGCUGGGAUUACUGGUAUGUUCUGUAUUACUGCAAGACUAUAGAUUUCGAGGUAACUGAAGGAAGUAUGUGAGUCUUAGAAAAGCUGGGAAAGGUAACUUUUAAAUGGAAUGGUUUCUCAGUUUUACCUGUGGCACAGAGAGCACACUGCUGCAAUUAAUGUUAUCAUUGUUUGUGCCAUGUUCUAAUGACAUAAGAGUAUUUUAAAUUUCUCUUUGAUUGUCUUUUGUCGUUUUAAUGAGGUCUGUUAUGUGUAGUAGAACAGCCAUUAAGGCUUUUUAAUGGUCACUGACAUGCAAUACUUCACUUUGAAAAGCCCGGUACAGUUGCUUCCUGAAAGGCACUAAAUAAACAAAGCUGCAAACUGAUGGCUUCUAUUCAUCUCACAGUGAAAUACCGUACUUGGGUCUGAUGAAGUUUCCUUCAGCAAUGCUGUCACUGUAUUUUAAAAUUUGAUUUUGAGAAAGCAUCUUGACAUAUAAAAAGCUAGUUGCAGUUCUUUGUUUUCCUUAACUAAAACUUGUGAAAAAAGGGCAUUAGAAACUGUUCUGUGUAUAGUGAAGUGGAAAGCCCUGAGGAAUACUGAGUGUCACUAGGAAAAGAAGAAAAGGGGCAAAGUUUGUAUGACUGAGGACUUUAUGGAAUUACAGUCUGGAGUUGAAACCACGCUGUUGUUUUUUCUUGCCUAGGGAAUUCAAAUACAAUGAGAGACCAGAUGUGUUUCAAGAUAAAUCUUUAGUAAAUAAUUAGGUUUAGAAAUCUGAAGGAACUGUGGAGACAUCCCAGUAGAGUAUAAAGCCAUUUUUGUUCCCUAUGAAAAUCAGAUUUUGAAGGAAUAGGAUGAAAGAUUCAAUCCUUUUCUUAAGUAACAUAGCAUUAGAGUUAGAGUUGGUAGGAACUGUCAUGAUCCAUUCCUGUUGGACAUAGGUUUUUACAAAGGCACUCUAAUAAAUUAGUUGAAGAUGAAGGCAUUUACCUCAAUUCUUUUAUUCUGGUCAUGAGAACAUUUUUUAAAGGUUAUGUCUCACACUUUAGAUAACUCCUGAUAUUUCUUCUUUUGCCUUCCUCCCUAUUCACUAUCUGCCUGAGAUUUUACCAAAGUCAGUCACCAUUCACCUCUGAAAAAUCUGAUUCAGACUCACAAGGAAGAGAACCAGUAUAAGAUAUUCGUUUGUAUGUUAAAGUUAAAAUAAACUUCUUUAGCCUUUGGUAUUUCCCAAGAAAUUUCCAAGAAAACUGCCUGAUUUCUGUUUAUGUUGUAAUUUCAUUCUUUUUUUCCUCCUAUAUAUUUUAAACUGUUAGAGAUAGUGAGCUGCUUAUGCCACAGAUAAGUCAGUCAUUAAAACAGAUGUUUCAUUCUUUAUUGUAUUGCCCCAUCUUCUCUCCUAUUUUUACCAAGCCAAUUGAUAGCUGGUUGGCUUGACUUGACCAAGAAAAUACCACAUAUAGUCAUGUAAAAGAGGGUGAAGUUUUGAAAAAUAUUUCUUUUUGUCUUUAUUUAAGGUUUUGAUUAUUGGCUUAAUUAGGCUAUUUGAUAAGGAAAGGUGAAUUCUCCAAAUUUCCAUGUUUUGAAGGAAAACAGUUGGAAGGAAACAGUUUCAAGAUGCUGAUUCAAAUUUAUUAUUGCAAAAUACAUAACUUGCUCAUUUUUGGCCUUCUUUUCCUCCUUCCAUGUGUGUGAGUAAAAUUCCAUAGAGUUCAUAGUGGCAAAGUUUGUUUCUACUCUGCCUCUAGAGAAGGUAGAACUCUGUACACACUGCAGAAGAGUCCCAUUUUAAGCAUGGCUUGGUGUCAUGUUGAUUAGUCUCCUGAUGCUGUACAGAAAUUCCAGUAUGUGAUGCCGUUUCUGUUGCUAGUAAGGUGUGCCUUAAUAUGUAUAAGCUGCAAGUGAAGGACACUUUGGAUGAAAACUAAUGAAAUGUGUGUUUCUUGCUUUGAUUUCAUCCAUUCAUUCUGAGCAACAAAUUCGUUCUCACAUACUUAAUCCUCCUGCCAAUUUACCUUGGCUCAGAGACUCAGGAUGGGAAUUUCCAAAGUCUUCUGAAAACUGCCUUUGGGGCCUGUUUAGGUGAAGACAUGAAUGAUUUCACUGCAGUUCUGGGAAGUACUCUUUGAAAUUUUACUGUUCAACUUCAGAAUUACAGACAAAUCUCCUUUUUUUUUAUUGAGUUGAAUUCUGCUACUCAGAAAGAAGUGAUGCAAUGGGUUCACAGUGAGUUGGAAAAAUUUUUUUUCACUGAUAUCAUUUGAGGUGACUUUCACCUAUUUUCCAUUCUCCUGUUUGCUCUUGUUCCUGUAGUGGAUGUUUCAUUUUUCCCAUCUUUCCAAUACUACAAGGAAGAGAUUGGCAGCUCAGUCACCUUUGAGUGUAACUGUGAUGAAAGCAAAUCUUAUGAUAUUGGAAUUGUUAAUAAUUACAGGUAGGCUAAUCUUAGGUUGCUUUAUGAUCAUAUUGUUCCUCCAUAUUUGUUCCAUAUUAUUCCUAUGAGAAAUGCAACAAAAUAUUAAUAGCUUCAUUUUGUUGUGGUGCUGCCCACAUUAAGCUGGGAAAGGAUUUAUGUCAGAGAAGGAGGUUCACUAGGAUGACAGAGCACUUAGUUUGGGUUUAGUGGGCAGUAGAAGCACAAUAACUGUGAUGCAGCUGCCUAAACAAAUGAGUUGACUAACAACUGUACAUGUAAUUUACAGACUUGGAACAGGUAGUGAUGUGAUUAUCUAGUGCUAUGUGUCUUAAGAGAGGUAAUUUGGAGCAUGCUUUUGCCCUAGGCAGGGUACAUGAAGGUCAUAACCUACUGGGCAGUAAUUUUCUUUGUUAAUGCAAAUGUCCUUUACCUUGCUUUGUAAAAUAGGUGAUACUUCUGGAAACAUUCACUAAUCCUCUGGUGUGAUGGGAGGUAAUAUUGUUGUUCCAGUGUAGCCACUUGUGUCCCUAUGAUCUGCUGCACAGGCAUGUCUAGUAUUCCUACCUAGAGGCAGAAGUACUGAAAAACGGAACAGAUCUUUGGCAUGUGCAUGUGACAUUAAGUAAGAGAAAAUCAGAUUCAAUGCUUAACAUUGUUUUAAGGAAAACUUUAAGAGGUAGGACCGGUUUACUUCAUCCAAGCUAUGUAAUAAACACUUCUUUUGUUGAUGUUUUGUGGUGGUAAAUACUUUAUUUCUUCUGUGAUACCUCUAUGGGUGAUUAAUCUUUAUAUCAAUGUGCUUAUGAAUUUACAGAUCCGUUUGUCUGUAAGUCCCCUGGAAGAUGACAACCCGUGUGCUCACAUUUAUGUUCUUUCUCUUGCAGUUUACUGGAGAUUCAUCUGCCCAGAGUGCUAAAGAUUGACUGUUGGGAGUAACCUAACAAUAAGAGAGUACCAGGCAGUGUAUUUGAUGAGAUUGAGACUUCCUUCCUGAGCAAAUAGCAUCUCAUCUGUCUUCUGAACAAUUUCAGUAUGGAGGGUGCUGUGUUAUUAGCAGCCAAAGUAGGCCAUGAAGCAAGGCUCGAUCUGUCACUGUUUCCACAACAAAAAGAAACUGAAGAUAUUUCUCCGGUAGGACUUCCUUCUCCUGUGUGCUCUUGCUAAUUGGCAUUUAUGCCAGAGUAAAGUUUGCAAUGCCUGUUUGAAAAUUUUGCCAAAAGGUCACAGAGUCAUUACUAUUCCACUCAAUACCUUAAACAUCAGAUUUUGAAAUGUAAGAAGUGUGGGACCUCGAGAAGCCAAGGAAUCAGCUGCUCCUGUCCGCGUGAGCAUUCCUCUUCAGUAUCACAAUGCAAAAUGAAAUGCACAUCAAUUAUUACAGAAAACUUUAAAACCAGGCCUCUUUAGUAACAGAGAGUUGUGUCUUGGAGGGACUAAAUCCACCAAAAUAUCCUGGGAAAGCCUAAGAUCAGCCAAAUUGCAGCAUAACCUCCCAGCAUUCUGAACAGAAGCAAGAGAGCAGGAAAAUGGUGCCAGUCUCUAACUGUGUGGAACAGGAUAAUGAGGCAAGUUUCUCUCCAUGGUCUGAGCCUUCUUCAGGAUAUGAUAAUUGAAUUGAUCUUACUCUACAGACAUGGAUGGUUUGGAAUGGCUGUUCCAUGGUUUCCCUCUUUGUUGCCAGCACAAUCUGUAAAGCUUGGAGAGAGAACACAUCUUCAUUCGGCUUUGCAAAAAAGGUCUAAAUCAGGUUUAGACUGAGAAUGUCAGAGGAUGGAAGACAUUGGAGCAAAGACAAGAGAAGGAUUUAUGAACCAAAUGGAUUGUGUUCACUGAAUGGACUAAGCUCCUGGAAGAAAAAAAACCCCAAACCUGUAUAAAUGUCCUUGUUUGAAGAAGGAAGAUGUGUAGAGAAGGAGAAAGGAGCUCAGAGAAAGAAAACAUGGGUUCAAUGACAAAGACAGCUGGAUGCUGCCCUGAGGAAAAGAGUCCUGUUGAAAUAGGAGCCAAGCCUAGAAGAGUUAACUGAGAUAUCUUGGCCUGAUAAGAAACCUCAAUACCUGUUUUGCUAGAAGAACAUUUUAGGAGCACUGGUUAAUAUCAUGUUCUGUUCUGCUCACUGGACCAAAGGCCUUACUAUAGAAAGAAUAGGAGUAGUACACACACAGUAAUAAAUUAGGUAAACUAGAUGUUUCAAUAAGAUCUGGAAGACCCAGAGCCAGGAUUUUGCAAGCUUGAAGAAUUCAGGUCACCUAAUUGAAGAGGUCAAAUUGAGGAAGACAUCCAUGGCAACCACCAUGGAUGAAGGCUUGAGGAGAAGACCCCCACAGUAGAAGACUGUGCAUGUCUGGAAAGACUCCACCCAGAGACCAGCCUACUUAUUAAUAUGCAUAAUAAAUGAUGUAACCAUGUAUCUAAAGUGUAUAAAAUGGCUUAGUUUUGCACUUGCAAGUGGAGCAAGUUUUUCCAGCAACAGCUUGCUUGCUCCCAGCGCUGUCAAUAAAUACCUUUGCUGCUCAAAGAUCAAAAGCCUCUGGGUAGUUUAUUAUACCAAAUUUUUCGGAUUCACUGUCCCUGCCUUCAUCUCACCAUCUCCCUGUGAUUUGGGCAAGCUCCUUAACGCAGAUUUUUCACAAGCAACAAUCAUUUUCUGAGUUCCCUCCUACAAGAAAUGCUAUAAGCAGCGAGGCAACGUAUGGGAACCACAGUCAGAUAAUUUUGACCACUACCAGCAUUCAGUGUUGGACACUGGAGAACAGGUUUACCUUUGGAAUCCCCAGGCUGAGAACAGGACCCAGUGCAAUCCCAGAUGUAGGUUGGCAGCAGUAACCAUCUGCAGGUGCCUAGAUUUCCACAUCUCUGCAAAACCUCUCCUUAGUUCUGAAGGGCAGUCCUUCCUUCAGGUUCAUUCUGAGCGUGGGAUCAGAGCACCCUUCUUGGGAACAGCACUGGCCCAGCAAGAGCAGAGGAACCUUUGGUGUGCAGGAACCUUUGAGGUGGGCACAAGCAGCUAAGGUUCAGUGUUCGGCACAGAAGCAGUGAGAAGGUGACAGAGUGGAUAUAAAGAACUGAUAAGGACAUACAACUUUGGCUCCCUUCUUUCUCAGUGUGGCAUUCAGAGGAGCCAGCUCUGGGGAAACAGCCUGCUGCCUCUGAGAAGUCACAUCCCAGUCAUCCCCUCAGCAUUUACCAUUACUCCUCAAUGUUCAGCAAAGGCCUCUUCCAGGGCAUAGCUGAAUGUGACUGGCUGCCUUCUCCUGAGCUGUGCAAUGGCUGGUUAUCCCCAUGCCAUUUUCCAGCAUCUGAUUAUGCAGGUUCUGCACUCGGCGUGUUGCAGUUUGGGCCACUUCUCCAGAUUUUUAUUAGUUUGCAGUCUACUUUUUCCUUCCAAAACAUUUUGUUCCCUCUGUUUAGUACUGUCUGAGGUUUUGUCAGCAGUUUGAUAACUGCAUCACAAGUGAAAGUGCUUGAAUAAUAUUGGAUGACCUACCCAUUUCCCUUCCUUUCAAUUACACUAGUUCCUCUGUGAGCCUCACUCCACAAUCCACCUUUCCAGCAGGUUGUGCCCCCUCAUGCUGACAGAUUCCUUGUUUCCUUAUAUUCAUUUCACAUGACAGCGUGUCAAAAGUCUUACUGAAGUCAAGACAUGUGGCAGCUACCGUUCCUCCUGUGUCACUUAGAUUUGUUAUCCUGUCACAAAAGGAAUAAUUUGUCAUAAUUUGUCCAUAACAAAAUGUGUGGGCUUCUUCCUCCUCCAGUCUCCAUUUUCUCUGAGUGCCUCUUCUGUUAGGUUUGCAAGCACGGGAGACUAUGUGUCUGCACUCUAGUGCCCUCACUCUUUCUGCCCCCAUCCUGAGGGCAGUCAUUCUACACCUGUUUUUUACCAACCUGGAGCCUAACACAUCAGUCAGACUGAGUUAGGGAAGGAGAUAAAAGGGAAGGAGAUAGGAAGCCCCCUCUCAGUCAAACCAAAGGUCUGUUAGCCCAGAAUGCAGAUUGCCUGCACCUGGCAGUGUGACAGCAGAGCCAGGGCACAGGGACCCUUCCCCAGUGAUACCCCUGUGUCCUCCAGAGAUCUCUCAGACCUUUUGUCUCUUUCAGGCAGCAAAAAGCUCAGCAAGCUGCCACAGUCACUCACAUCAAAUCAUAAACAGGAGUCCCCUUUUGUUCACAGCACUACUUGUUCAGUAAUUGUUCUCUACCCUUUUCCUGCUAAAGACAAUUUAAUUCUUAUUUUUGGUGACAUGAUCUAUUCCCUGUCACAAACAAAAUUAAACAUUUAAAUUUCGUCACUGAAGAUCCAAGUCAUUUGCAGCUGUGUUGUGUCUUGGUAAGUGAAAUAUUAUAUAUUAUUUUUAAAAUAGUCAUGUAUCUAAAAUUUAUGAUAACAUCACCCUUUGCAUCUGAUGGUAAAUGCAGCAUGUACUUUGACAGCAUUUCCAGAGGCAUGGAAAGUACAACUCUUCCAUUAUAGGAAUGUCCAGUUUGGCCCUAAGCGAGUGCAUAUUUGGUUCAUGAAUGCUGACCUAGGUGUAU
Long non-coding RNA from Pseudopipra pipra, 12243 nucleotides. RefSeq lists it as uncharacterized. The record is from RefSeq and is a predicted model, not a curated record. Lineage: Eukaryota; Metazoa; Chordata; Aves; Passeriformes; Pipridae. The transcript is spliced from 12 exons.